RNAcentral lists this long non-coding RNA (250 nucleotides) under Physcomitrium patens. Its description in RNAcentral is "long non-coding RNA (PPAT_LNC005939)". Lineage: Eukaryota; Viridiplantae; Streptophyta; Bryopsida; Funariales; Funariaceae. The record is from RNAcentral.
UUCUUCAUAGGGUUUUGAGAAGACUGAGGCAAUCAUUGCUGAAGUCAGUGUUGUAAUGGUGAAUCGGGAUUUUUAAUGAAGUGGGUUUGAUUACUCUUGACUGUUUUGUGAAAUCGAGUUACGUCUGUGAUGAAGAAUUAAAAGGGUGUCUAUAGGAUUGAGUAUGCGGAGUGAAUGAAACUUAUUGGGUUAAUCUAAGGAGACAGUCGGUGGAUACAAGAUCGUUAGUAUAAAGCGGUAUCGAAGAUUA